Molecule: ribosomal RNA, 207 nt
Filed under: uncultured bacterium
Lineage: Bacteria
Description: partial 16S ribosomal RNA
Rfam family: Bacterial small subunit ribosomal RNA
Source: RNAcentral
CGCGUAGGCGGAUUGUCAAGUCAGAGGUGAAAGCCCUGGGCUCAACCUGGGAACUGCCUUUGAAACUAACGGUCUAGAGUCCGAGAGAGGAUGGCGGAAUUCCCAGUGUAGAGGUGAAAUUCGUAGAUAUUGGGAAGAACACCAGUGGCGAAGGCGGCCAUCUGGCUCGGUACUGACGCUGAGGCGCGAAAGCGUGGGAAGCAAACA